UACGGAGGGAGCUAGCGUUGUUCGGAUAUACUGGGCGUAAAGCGCACGUAGGCGGCUUGGUAUGUCGGGUGUGAAAUCCCCGGGCUCAACCUGGGAACUGCAUCCGAAACUGCCUUGCUCGAGUAUGGGAGAGGGAAGUGGAAUUUCCGGUGUAGCGGUGAAAUGCGUAGAUAUCGGAAGGAACAUCAGUGGCGAAGGCGACUUCCUGGACCAAUACUGACGCUCAGGUGCGAAAGCGUGGGGAGCAAACAGG
Molecule: ribosomal RNA, 253 nt
Filed under: uncultured bacterium
Lineage: Bacteria
Description: partial 16S ribosomal RNA
Rfam family: Bacterial small subunit ribosomal RNA
Source: RNAcentral